GACGAACGCUGGCGGCGUGCUUAACACAUGCAAGUCGAACGGAAAGGCCCUGCUUUUGUGGGGUGCUCGAGUGGCGAACGGGUGAGUAACACGUGAGUAACCUGCCCUUGACUUUGGGAUAACUUCAGGAAACUGGGGCUAAUACCGGAUAGGAGCUCCUGCUGCAUGGUGGGGGUUGGAAAGUUUCGGCGGUUGGGGAUGGACUCGCGGCUUAUCAGCUUGUUGGUGGGGUAGUGGCUUACCAAGGCUUUGACGGGUAGCCGGCCUGAGAGGGUGACCGGCCACAUUGGGACUGGGAUACGGCCCAGACUCCAACGGGAGGCAGCAGUGGAGAAGAUUGCACAAUGGGCGGAAGCCUGAUGCAGCAACGCCGCGUGCGGGAUGACGGCCUUCGGGUUGUAAACCACUUUCGCCUGUGACGAAGCGUGAGUGACGGUAAUGGGUAAAGAAGCACCGGCUAACUACGUG
Molecule: ribosomal RNA, 468 nt
Filed under: uncultured bacterium
Lineage: Bacteria
Description: partial 16S ribosomal RNA
Rfam family: Bacterial small subunit ribosomal RNA
Source: RNAcentral